GGCUCAGCUGGUUAGAGCGUGGUGCUGAUAACACCAUGGUUGUGGGUUCAAUCCCUGU
Molecule: transfer RNA, 58 nt
Filed under: Apaloderma vittatum (bar-tailed trogon)
Lineage: Eukaryota; Metazoa; Chordata; Aves; Trogoniformes; Trogonidae
Rfam family: tRNA
About the family: Transfer RNA (tRNA) molecules are approximately 80 nucleotides in length. Their secondary structure includes four short double-helical elements and three loops (D, anti-codon, and T loops).
Source: Rfam by way of RNAcentral